GCAAGGGGGUCAUCCCGACUUACCAACCCGAUGCAAACUGCGAAUACCGGAGAAUGUUAUCACGGGAGACACACGGCGGGUGCUAACGUCCGUCGUGAAGAGGGAAACAACCCAGACCGCCAGCUAAGGUCCCAAAGUCAUGGUUAAGUGGGAAACGAUGUGGGAAGGCCCAGACAGCCAGGAUGUUGGCUUAGAAGCAGCCAUCAUUUAAAGAAAGCGUAAUAGCUCACUGGUCGAGUCGGCCUGCGCGGAAGAUGUAACGGGGCUAAACCAUGCACCGAAGCUGCGGCAGCGACACUAUGUGUUGUUGGGUAGGGGAGCGUUCUGUAAGCCUGUGAAGGUGUGCUGUGAGGCAUGCUGGAGGUAUCAGAAGUGCGAAUGCUGACAUAAGUAACGAUAAAGCGGGUGAAAAGCCCGCUCGCCGGAAGACCAAGGGUUCCUGUCCAACGUUAAUCGGGGCAGGGUGAGUCGACCCCUAAGGCGAGGCCGAAAGGCGUAGUCGAUGGGAAACAGGUUAAUAUUCCUGUACUUGGUGUUACUGCGAAGGGGGGACGGAGAAGGCUAUGUUGGCCGGGCGACGGUUGUCCCGGUUUAAGCGUGUAGGCUGGUUUUCCAGGCAAAUCCGGAAA
RNAcentral lists this ribosomal RNA (629 nucleotides) under Escherichia coli. RNAcentral's name for it is "partial 23S ribosomal RNA". It matches the Rfam family "Bacterial large subunit ribosomal RNA", at positions 918 to 1548 of the family's 2925-position model. The record is from RNAcentral. Lineage: Bacteria; Pseudomonadati; Pseudomonadota; Gammaproteobacteria; Enterobacterales; Enterobacteriaceae.